AUUGAUGGAGAGUGGCACUUAGAGCAAGAUACCCGACCUUGACUGGGGACCAAGCACGAAAUCCCUAAGAGGUGACAGGAAGAGAGAAGUCUGAAAGGUUAAGUGAGUUAACCAGAUGGUGUCAGAAGUGGAAUCCAAAGAACAGCUUCUAACAACCCCCAGGAGCGCUGAGCGUGGUUCCUACUCGGCCCAUUGUGCCCAUUGCUCUCUUGGAGCAG
This 218-nucleotide long non-coding RNA is filed under the name Pan troglodytes (chimpanzee). Its description in RNAcentral is "long non-coding RNA NONPTRT011058". The record is from RNAcentral. Lineage: Eukaryota; Metazoa; Chordata; Mammalia; Primates; Hominidae.